Long non-coding RNA from Xiphophorus couchianus (Monterrey platyfish), 1154 nucleotides. RefSeq lists it as uncharacterized. The record is from RefSeq and is a predicted model, not a curated record. NCBI's taxonomy places the organism in Eukaryota, Metazoa, Chordata, Actinopteri, Cyprinodontiformes, Poeciliidae. The transcript is spliced from 2 exons.
UACCACCAUGAAGGGAUAUAAAAGUUUUAAAAACUUAUGGCGCACCAGUCCUGCAGUUUAAAGUCAUUUUUAACGAGAUGGGUUGUUUUGUUGUUGCUGAUGACUCAAGCAGGCAGGGAAAAAUGGUGUUGAGAUGACUUAAUAAAAAAAAAAAAAUCAAAUGAGAACUUACAACAGAGACACAGAGGGUGGGAGGGGCAUGACAAGAUAAACACAGAACAUCAAUAAGGACUGACUGAAGAUCUAGGAUUACAAAGCAAUGGUUACUGGGUCAAGACACAGGAGAGGCUUAAUUAUUAGAAUGAGUCAUUUUUGAUUGAGAAAAACCAUGAAAGGUCAUGGUCUGGAAACUAAAAAACAUCCUGCAAAGGGACACUCAGAAAGCCAUCAACAACAUCGGUUCCCUUUCUUUCUGUCAGACUCUCCAAGGGUGACAUCUGGCCGAGGCUUGCAGUCGGCAUGCGAAGGGUUACAGCUGCAAUCGUUUUCUCUGGCUUGGCCUGAGCCCAGAGGCUUAAUAAAGGGAAUUAAUGGAGUGCACUAUCUGUCAGAUUCCUAAACACAGCUGGAGCGGAUGUUCAUCGCCCCCAAGCAGCCCGAAGAACUUACUAUCCUACUUGAACAACAUAAGCCCCUUCUUUCUUCCCCCAUAUUGUCCCCUGGGUGCUGACUCCGCAAAAGAACCCCAGCUGAUUGUGAAAGCUGUUUAUGUAUCAUCACUGACUAUAAUUACACAAUGUGGGAUAACAAACAGAGAGAGUGGAAGGGGGAAAGGGGGGGCAACUGUUAUGAGCGUAUCAAAAUACAGUGAACUUUUUGGUCAUGCAUGGUAACAGCUGCGGUAAUGAUGUGCAAGCGGUACAAAUAAUCAAUGUAAAUGUGGUGAACUAAUAAUACGUGCCGCACACUCAUGAGCACGUGGCCAGUGAGUCCUGCGGCAUUUAACACGAAUGGACCCAGUCUAAGACAAUACUGCAGAGAACCCACACAGGCAGGCCAUCCACUCAAGGUUCCAUAUGUUUUAGACAUGUUUAAAUAACUAGAAAGUAUGCUAAAUGCUUGACUUUAAAGUCGGGUAACUUGAGAAGCCUAAUGUAAAAGGUUAUAUGUUCUACCGAACUGCUUUUCAUAACAAAGUAAAGCUUUUAAGCCUA